GGAGAGGUGCCGGAGUGGUCGAACGGGGCGGUUUCGAAAACCGUUGUCCUCGCAAGGGGACCCAGGGUUCGAAUCCCUGUCUCUCCGCCA
Molecule: transfer RNA, 90 nt
Filed under: Paracoccaceae bacterium
Lineage: Bacteria; Pseudomonadati; Pseudomonadota; Alphaproteobacteria; Rhodobacterales; Paracoccaceae
Also listed under: 1 other name
Description: Rhodobacteraceae bacterium (freshwater sediment metagenome) tRNA-Ser
Rfam family: tRNA
About the family: Transfer RNA (tRNA) molecules are approximately 80 nucleotides in length.
Source: RNAcentral